CACGAAAACAAGCACCGUGUGCCGCUGGCUUAAGUCGCCAUAUUGAACAGUUCUGUUUAUCAGUGACUUGAGAAGAUGUUUUGUAUACUUAAGUGCCCAAAAAAGAGCAUUUCGGUGUUAUAGGAAGAAAGAAGAAGGACCAACGAAGAACAAAGAGCGUGUGGCAUCAUAACAUUAACAUUCACGUACAUUUCUUCAAGAUGGUGUGGAAGUGUUGUGUUCCACAAUAUAAGUCCACAUCUCAAAUAUCAGUACAUCGCUUCUCAAAGGAUGCAUCGAAAAGGAAACAUUGGCUAACAACUAUAGGCAAAACUGAUUUGAUCGGUGCGCCUAAAGAAAUAUUGGCCAAAUUGAGAAUCUAUAUGGAACAUUUUCCAGAAAAUAUGGUACAGCCUUAUGGGUCUAGGCGACAUCUAACCAAUAAUGCUGUACCAAUAUUACAUUUGCCUUUAAAUUUUUAACAGCAUGUUGAUAUUAACGUUAACAAUAAUAUUUGUGAGCAUGUUAGUGUAGAACAUGUUCCGAACAAUUCUGCUUUUGUGCCACUGCCCAUAAACAUGGGUGAAGAGACAGAAAAUGGGUGAAGAGCAAGAAAAAAUGAAGAGGAAGAAGAAAUCUAUGUUUUAAGAAGAAACUUGAGGACACAAUGGAAGAUGUUACACAAUAAGAAGAGGAUUAUUUAUCAUCAGCAUCAGAGAAUCAACAGACUGCAACGUGGGAAUACAUGGGAUGACAUCACGAAGGACAUGUCAAACAUACAGAAGACUUUCUUCCAAAUGUUGACGAUAAAUUUAAAAUGUUCUCCAUAGUGAGAACCAAUAAAGAUGGACUCACAUAUUGUCAUCCAUUGGCCGUAGUUAUACAGAAAGCAGGAAAGCGAAAUGCUACAUGGUGAAAAAUAUAAAAACGAAAGAGGAAGAAUAAGUACGUCGCGCUUCGGGAGGUAAUGGGGGAAGCGCGGGCGUUGCCUCUGAAAUUGGCUUGUGCUGCUCACUUAAUUCCCAGCACUGAUUUAAAGUAUUGAAUAAUACUCAAAGUAGGAGGUAUGAGCUUUUAGGAACAUACAAUGAAAGAUCCACCAAUGUCAUACAAAGAGAGGAACAAACAAUCACGAUGAAACAUAACAGUGACGACGAUGAAAUGAUGUAAAAUGAUCACCGAUAUGAAGAAAAGCAGAAAGUCCUGACUUUGACGUUGUACAAAACGAUGAGGAAGCGCGCAUAUACAUGUUUACGUACAUUACUUACACAUAUUCUAGCCAUCCAAACGUUACAAUUGGCGCUUCAUAAGAUACCCAUCACCGCUGGUUUGAACCCUUUUAUCCUGAGACACUUGGAGAAUAUAGCUCGAAAGUUGUCAAUGAAGGAGAAAGUGUGCAUUCUUAUGUGGGAUGAGGUAUCCAUACAACCACAAGUCAUGUAUGAUACUCGAAAAGAUAUAAUAGCUUGGAUAGCUAAUGUAGCUUGGAGGAUUGGGGCAACAAUCAUACCACAAAGAUGGCGGAUCACGUUUUAGUUUUUGUGCUUCGCGGAUUAAACUCGGGAUGGAAGAUGCCACUUUCGUUUAAUUUUUGCUAUAAACAAACGAGUACCGCGCAAUUAAUUCGUACCAUUAAAGAACAUAUUCAUAUAAUUAGUAACAUAGGCUUCGACAUCGUUUAUACAGUUUGUCACCAGGGCACAUCAAACGUCGCCGCAAUAAAGGAAUUAUUAUUGCGCACCGAUAUGCAACGGAAUUUUCAAAAGAAAACCCAAAGUAAAUAACAACAUUCACUACAAGUAUGGAAUUAUUAACAGUGCAUAUAAAUUUAUUUCUUUUACUCGUAAGUCAAACGUUUGAAGUUGGGAAUAAGGAAGUGAUAUCACUAUUUGAUCUUCCACAUCUCAUCAAGGGUAUCAGGAACAAUUUAUUAUCGAAGGAUUUGGCAGUGAAGUUUGUGAAGUAGUGUUCCAAGUGAAAUAGUGUCGUGGAAUACUAUUAAAACGGCGUGGAUUGGACCAAGAAUUGAAUCAAAUCCGACCACAAUUGAAGAAAAUAACAGCAGAACAUAUUUGUGAGGACAAAAUAAAGAAGAUGCGUGUUAAGUACGCAACACAAGUGUUGAGUGGGACGGUUGCCAGCUACAUCGAAACAUUGGCAAGAUCAAAGUGUGUAGUGGGCACCGAUGACAAUAAAUUGAAAAUAAAUAUUAAAGACGAACUUGCAACGACCGAAGCAGUGAACUUUUUCAACGAUUUGUUCGACAGUGUUAAUGGUAGUGACAAAGAGUGUACAGAAGAUAAUGAACUUCGACGUCCAGUGACUGAAGACAGUGAUCAUCGUGUGUUUUGGAGGACAGUUUAUGUCGUCACAAACUCGGGAACAGAGACUUAUACGAGGAAAACGUCUUUUGAACAAGCUUAAGCACCCUGAAGUUCCUAACAUGUUGUGGUUUUUUUCUGACGAAAAAAUUUCGACCAAGACCAAAAAAUCAAUCGGAGAAAUGACAGGUAGUUAUGCUCACAUCCUACAGAGGUUCCCUGUGUUAUGCACACGAAGUUUCCAGCAACUGUCAUGGUUUUAGGAGUUGUGAGCAA
RNAcentral lists this unclassified non-coding RNA (2576 nucleotides) under Harpegnathos saltator (Jerdon's jumping ant). RNAcentral describes it as "soluble guanylate cyclase 88E, transcript variant X1". Lineage: Eukaryota; Metazoa; Arthropoda; Insecta; Hymenoptera; Formicidae. The record is from RNAcentral.